Molecule: ribosomal RNA, 533 nt
Filed under: uncultured Micromonosporaceae bacterium
Lineage: Bacteria; Bacillati; Actinomycetota; Actinomycetes; Micromonosporales; Micromonosporaceae
Description: bacterial SSU rRNA
Rfam family: Bacterial small subunit ribosomal RNA
Source: RNAcentral
UGGGGAAUAUUGCACAAUGGGCGAAAGCCUGAUGCAGCGACGCCGCGUGAGGGAUGACGGCCUUCGGGUUGUAAACCUCUUUCAGCAGGGACGAAGCGAGAGUGACGGUACCUGCAGAAGAAGCGCCGGCCAACUACGUGCCAGCAGCCGCGGUAAGACGUAGGGCGCGAGCGUUGUCCGGAUUUAUUGGGCGUAAAGAGCUCGUAGGCGGCUUGUCGCGUCGACUGUGAAAACCUGCGGCUCAACCGUGUGGUCUGCAGUCGAUACGGGCAGGCUAGAGUUCGGUAGGGGAGACUGGAAUUCCUGGUGUAGCGGUGAAAUGCGCAGAUAUCAGGAGGAACACCGGUGGCGAAGGCGGGUCUCUGGGCCGAUACUGACGCUGAGGAGCGAAAGCGUGGGGAGCGAACAGGAUUAGAUACCCUGGUAGUCCACGCUGUAAACGUUGGGCGCUAGGUGUGGGGGGCCUCUCCGGUUCUCUGUGCCGCAGCUAACGCAUUAAGCGCCCCGCCUGGGGAGUACGGCCGCAAGGCUAA